GACGAACGCUGGCGGCGUGCUUAACACAUGCAAGUCGAACGGGAUUUAGUAGACAGAAGCCUCGGCUAAAGAUUACUAAUGAGAGUGGCGAACGGGUGAGUAACGCGUAAGCAACCUGCCUAUGACAGUGGGAUAGCCUCGGGAAACCGGGAUUAAUACCGCAUAAAAUCGUAGAAACACAUGUUUUAACGGUCAAAGAUUUAUCGGUCAUAGAUGGGCUCGCGUCUGAUUAGCUAGUUGGUGAGAUAACAGCCCACCAAGGCGACGAUCAGUAGCCGGUCUGAGAGGAUGAACGGCCACAUUGGAACUGAGACACGGUCCAAACUCCUACGGGAGGCAGCAGUGGGGAAUAUUGCACAAUGGGGGAAACCCUGAUGCAGCGACGCCGCGUGAACGAAGAAGGUAUUCGUAUCGUAAAGUUCUGUCCUAUGGGAAGAUAAUGACAGUACCAUAGAAGAAAGCUCCGGCUAAAUACGUG
Molecule: ribosomal RNA, 478 nt
Filed under: uncultured bacterium
Lineage: Bacteria
Description: partial 16S ribosomal RNA
Rfam family: Bacterial small subunit ribosomal RNA
Source: RNAcentral